UUUUUUUUGUUUUUGUCUUUUUAGGGCUACACCUGUGGCAUAUGGAGGUUCUCGGGCUAGGGGUCGAUUCAGAGCUGUAGCCAGCCAGCCUACGCUACAGCUACAACAAUGCGGGAGCCGGGAGGUCCCGUGGUGGCACCGUGGUUAACAAAUCCAACUAGGAACCAUGAGGUUGUGGGUUCGAUCCCUGGCCUUGCUCAGUGGGUUAAGGAUCUGGUGUUGCCAUGAGCUGUGCAAUGCUGAACCCUUAACCCACUGAGUGAGGCCAGGGAUCAAACCUGCGUCCUCAUGGCUGCUAGUCAGAUUUGUUUCUGCUGAGCCACGAUGGGAACUCCAUCACUGCAUUUAUAUGUCAGUAUCUGGAAGCCUCUGCCAGGACUCAGAAUUCUCAUGUGCACAUCGGAAAGCUGAACGAUCCAAACUCUUGGUCUAUCCCAGUCCUGUGAGCAUGUGCGCAGCCUUCUUUACCACAAAGCUCCAAGCAUUUACUACACAACAAACUACCCGAAAACUUGGUGGCUUAAAACCACCCCCAUUUUAUUAUCUCACAAUUGUGUGGACUAGAAAUUCAANAUCCUUAACCACUGAGCGAGGCCUGGGAUGGAACCCGAAACCUCAUGCUUGCUAGUCGGAUUCGUUAAGCACUGAGCCUCAGAGGGAACUCCAAGGGAGUGAAUUCUUUCAUGGCAGCUCCCAUGAGCCUCCUAGAGCUCAGAGCUCCCAGGACAGCACUCGAUGGAGCCCAGCAGGGAGUUUCUGGUCUAACCACAGAAGUCACAGAAUAUCACUUCCACUGCAUCCUGCAGGCCAAGAAAACCACCAAGGUGAGGUCAGAUUCAAGUAGAGGGAAACUGGGCCCUACCCCUCAAUGGAAGAAGUAGCAAAGGAAUUGUGGCCAUUAUUGACCCAUUACGAAUGUGGUUCACAGAAGAAGGAAAAUAAGGAAUUCCAAUCACUAACCCUAUGGUCAGAGAAAAAAAACCUAGACUCAGUAUUAAAAUGUUAGGAAAGGUACCUUUUGUGUUUUAAACUAAAAUGUUUAAGAUAUGUAGGUCCUAUUUUUAUAUUGAUUCACCAACCUUUUUUUUAACUAGUUAUAUAGGAUAAGAUCUUAUCUCUCUAUUGUAAGUUUUUAAAAAUACAAGAACUUAGAUCCAUGACAAUUUCUUAUUUGUAUUUAAGGAUUCAAAGCACAAAGCACAGGGUGUGCUUGCUAAUUCAGGUCAAAAAAAAAAAAAAAAAAGGUGCCCACUCUUUUUUUGCCCCAGAGCUGCCUGCUCCAGCCUUGGUGGUUUGUAUGGCAAGGCUCCAUUUCCUAGAACUAAGCUGCCUUUGCUGCCAGCCGUCUGCACCGCCUCUUUCCAGCUCAUCUUGGCUGAAGCUGCCAUUUUCCAGAGCAAACCUCAGCCCCAUUCCUUUCAAAACACAGAGACUGUCUCUGACAGCUUCUAACUUAAGCUGGGUGAUGCUCCCACUCCAGAAUUCCAAGAAAAACUAAUGCUUUCCUAACUCAGGUUUUGAAAUACCCACCACCUACCAACCCCUACAGCUCGGGCCCCUGACAGUUUCACUAGAGCUCCAACCCCAGGGGCCCUCACACCCCCAGCACCCCUAGACGCUCUCAGUGGCCCAUCAGAAGCUGCACACCUGAGUCCUCUCAUCCUUUGUUGCCCUGGGAACCAUCUCUGGGCUUCCUCUCACCUUCCCCCACCCCAAAGGUGCCUUCUCCAGCUGUCUCUGGCGAAAUAGUUCUCGAACUUUCUACUUCCCCAUUCAGCCCUUUCCAGUUAACCUCACCCAAGGCUGUCCUCGCCUCACGUUGAAUCCUAGCACUCCUCUGCCAGGGCUCCAGGCCGCCUCUGUCCCUGUAGCGUGUGCAGUGCUCGAAGACCACGUCUAGCCUGUCACACGUUUCCCUUUUCCCCCAAAAUGUGAACUUUGGCCACUCUCAUGGCAGGUGAAAGGGAUCAAAUUAGGCCAGGGAAUUGAACCUUAGCCACAGCAGUGACAACACUGAAUUUUUAACUACUAGGCCACCAGGGAACUCCCAAAAUGCAAACAUUUUGAGAGCAGAGACCAUGGUUUGUGUGUGGUGUGUGUGAGAGAGAGAGAAGGAGACGGGGGUGGGGGGGAGAUUUUAAAAUUAUUAUUCAGUAUAGAGAAUAGACUUGGGCUUCCUAAUACAUGCUCUAAAGAUGCAUAUUGAAAUUAAAUGUCAAAAAAAUGUACAUAAAUUGUGCCAGGCACUGGACUAAGCACUUUACAUUAUUUAAUCCAUACAUUUAAUCCUCAUCCUCUACCACUAUUACUUCCUCUAGGGUCUAAUUUUAACAAAAUUCCACCAAAAGGAAGAAUUGGGACAUCCCACAUAACUCAUUUGGACUGGGAUGUGGCACCCGGAACAAGCGCCCCUCCAAACGCCCGAAGACAGCGUGAGCGUUGUCAGGUGCGAUCAGCGACUUCCUGGCAGGUGUGCUCAGGUGUGUUAGGAGGGACACAGCUCUGACGGCAGGCAGAGAAUGAGACCGAUAAGCCUGCACUCUGGGAUCCAGGCGCUCACAAGCAAGGGGCAAGAGGAGGUUUCCUGUUCUGGAUGAGAGGAGUCGUGUAGGAGGUAUAAGGAAUGAAGCCGUGGAAGUGAUGGGUGGACCUCAAACCCCACACCCCCAAAAAGGUCUGCCUUUAAUUGUUUUAUUAGAGAGUUUACCAAAAUUGGAACCAGGAAGAAAAAGAACAAGCCACAGAAAUUUGUUCUUGGCUCCAGUCAGACAGCUGAGCCCCAAACUGCGAUUCUAAAGUCUGUUUGCUAUUGAACAGGCGAAUCGAGGACCAAAAGGCACUGGCACAUCUAGUGGGCUCACAGGAGCCAUGGCCAAGUUGAGGGUUAGGGACAUGUGCCAGCAGCACGCUCGGGUACACUCUGUCCCUGCCCGAGUCUACUGCAGUAAUUAGCUUUGCUCAUUAGUUUCAAGUAAAUAAUCUCCUUGUCACAGCUGGGAUCCUUUAUCAGAACAGUGGACAUCAGGGUUUGCAAAAGCAAAGGAUUUCCCCCCCCACCCCCAGAAUUCCCUGGAACACUAAGUCAUGACCCAGAGAUUUGAAUGAAGGAAGGAAAUGUCCAAAGAGGUCUAAAAUUCCAAGGAAUAGCUCUGUCUAGAGAGUGGAAGCACUGGGUAUGAAAAACAAAUGAAAAACAACAACAAAACCUUUGAAAUGGAUAUUGAUCUGUUCUUCAACUCAGUUUAAGUUCAGAUCAAUGAAGACACGUAACUAUCUGCUAUAUAGCAGGAAAUGCAGCCCAGACCUCAGAGAGCCUGGGAGGAAACGGGUAAUAAAUGCACAAAUAGCAUUAACAUGCUAGUAAUGCACUCUGAUGGCAGAAUGUGCGGAGGGAGGGUGCCCAAGCCUGCCUGGGUCUUCAGGGAGGAUUUCCCGGAGGUGUGACUGGCACUGAUUUAAGACGAGAAGGAGCAGCGAGGAGCACUUCUGCAAGACUUGCAGAGGAGGGAGGCCUGGGCAUGAUUCUGAGCCUUUUAAAACAAUGGGCAAAAUACAUACGCUCAACAUUUUAUCCCUUGGUAUCCCAUCAUUAUGCCCAUUUCGAGGAAGGAGAAAAUGAAGAGAGAGAUUUCAACGCUGCCCGUGGAUUGCCUGUGGGGUUGGGGUUGAGGGGGGACAUAGCUGGGAUAGUGAGGCAGGACCCUACC
RNAcentral lists this long non-coding RNA (3707 nucleotides) under Sus scrofa (pig). Its description in RNAcentral is "lncRNA (ENSSSCG00045021890.1)". The record is from RNAcentral. Lineage: Eukaryota; Metazoa; Chordata; Mammalia; Artiodactyla; Suidae.